GACGAACGCUGGCGGCGUGCUUAACACAUGCAAGUCGAACGGAGUGGCGAACGGGUGAGUAACACGUGGGUGACCUGCCCUGCACUUCGGGAUAAGCCUGGGAAACUGGGUCUAAUACCGGAUAGUGUGGUAUGGGCCCGCGACCUAUCAGCUUGUUGGUGGGGUAAUGUCCUACCAAGGCUGCGACGGGUAGCCGGCCUGAGAGGGUAGACGGCCACAUUGGGACUAAGAGACGGCGCAGACGCGUACGGGAGGCAGCAGUUGGGAAUAUUGCACAAUGGGCGGAAGCCUAAUGCAGCGACGCCGCGUGGGGGAUGACGGCCUUGGGGGUGUAAACUCCUUUCACCAUCGACGCGGUAGAUGGAGAAGAAGAACCGGCUAACUACGUGCCAGCCGCCGCGGUAAUAC
Molecule: ribosomal RNA, 408 nt
Filed under: uncultured bacterium
Lineage: Bacteria
Description: partial 16S ribosomal RNA
Rfam family: Bacterial small subunit ribosomal RNA
Source: RNAcentral